GGGUAAGUAGGUUGGUCGGUCCACCGGUACGUACUGGUCUCACUGAUUCCUCCUUCCUGAAGUACCGUAAUGCCAUUAAUUUGGUGUUGCGGGGAAACAGGACUGUUACUUUGAAAAAAUUAGAGUGUUUAAAGCAAGCUAACGCUUGAAUACAUUAGCAUGGAAUAAUGAAAUAGGACGAUCGAUCCUAUUUUGUUGGUUUCUAGGAUUGACGUA
This 216-nucleotide ribosomal RNA is filed under the name Glomeromycotina sp. Its description in RNAcentral is "partial small subunit ribosomal RNA". The stretch from base 40 to 216 matches the Rfam family "Eukaryotic small subunit ribosomal RNA", at positions 686 to 864 of the family's 1831-position model. The record is from RNAcentral. Lineage: Eukaryota; Fungi; Glomeromycota.